GAUGUGACACAUCCUAGUACUACGAAUCUGGAGGCAGAUUCGGCAGAUUCGUAGUACUAGGAUGUGUCACAUCCAGUCUUAGAUUCGUUUUUUUCGGGAC
RNAcentral lists this unclassified non-coding RNA (100 nucleotides) under Oryza sativa (Asian cultivated rice). RNAcentral describes it as "partial microRNA MIR468g-3 precursor". Lineage: Eukaryota; Viridiplantae; Streptophyta; Magnoliopsida; Poales; Poaceae. The record is from RNAcentral.